Molecule: ribosomal RNA, 441 nt
Filed under: uncultured bacterium
Lineage: Bacteria
Description: bacterial SSU rRNA
Rfam family: Bacterial small subunit ribosomal RNA
Source: RNAcentral
UGGGGAAUAUUGCGCAAUGGCCGAAAGGCUGACGCAGCGACGCCGCGUGUAGGAUGAGGCCCUUCGGGGUGUAAACUACUGUUGCCCGGGACGAACGGCAGACUUUGGUCUGCGUGACGGUACCGGGUGAGGAAGCACCGGCUAACUCCGUGCCAGCAGCCGCGGUAAUACGGAGGGUGCGAGCGUUGUCCGGAAUCACUGGGCGUAAAGGGCGCGUAGGUGGCUUGGUAAGGGGGCGGUGAAAGCCCGGGGCUCAACCCCGGGUCUGCCGGACCGACUGCUGAGCUAGAGCACACUAGAGGCAAGUGGAAUUCCGGGUGUAGCGGUGGAAUGCGUAGAUAUCCGGAAGAACACCGGUGGCGAAGGCGGCUUGCUGGGGUGUGGCUGACACUGAGGCGCGACAGCGUGGGGAGCAAACAGGAUUAGAUACCCCCGUAGUCC